AAUAGUUCCUGCACCGUGCACCUUCACCGCGUUGCCCCAUUGCGCUCCAGCCCCUGGGCUACGCUGUUCCCUGGGGUGAUGCCCGCUUGCCUCCAUGUUGUGCUUGGGUGGCCAAGACUGAGGUAUCAAGGCCCUUCCAGGAAGUCUAUGAGAAUAAAAUACUGAAGAUGAGAUGUAUGAUGGCUAGCUGUCUUCUUACCAUGUGCCUGAUCCACAAAUAACAGAAGAAUGAAGACAACUGAAAAAAAGUACAGUUCUGAUCAGAACAGCAUUGUGUUGUUGAAUGUCAGCUGACUGUCAAAUAGUCUUUCUCUUCUUGUUCCUUAUUACCUUCAAUUCAUGUAGGUUUCUAAAUUUCUGUUCUAUAUUUUUACUUCCUAUUGUGCUUUCCAAGUCUUCUGCAAUUAAGCG
Long non-coding RNA from Gallus gallus (chicken), 411 nucleotides. The record is from Ensembl. Lineage: Eukaryota; Metazoa; Chordata; Aves; Galliformes; Phasianidae.